This 73-nucleotide transfer RNA is filed under the name Rickettsiaceae bacterium. RNAcentral describes it as "tRNA-Ala". It matches the Rfam family "tRNA". From Rfam's summary of the family: Transfer RNA (tRNA) molecules are approximately 80 nucleotides in length. Their secondary structure includes four short double-helical elements and three loops (D, anti-codon, and T loops). The record is from RNAcentral. Lineage: Bacteria; Pseudomonadati; Pseudomonadota; Alphaproteobacteria; Rickettsiales; Rickettsiaceae.
GGGGACGUAGUUUAGUAGGUAGAACACAUGCUUUGCAUGCAUGAAGUGAUCGGUUCGAUCCCGGUCGUCUCCA